Molecule: transfer RNA, 85 nt
Filed under: Felis catus (domestic cat)
Lineage: Eukaryota; Metazoa; Chordata; Mammalia; Carnivora; Felidae
Rfam family: tRNA
About the family: Transfer RNA (tRNA) molecules are approximately 80 nucleotides in length. Their secondary structure includes four short double-helical elements and three loops (D, anti-codon, and T loops).
Source: Rfam by way of RNAcentral
ACCUGGGUGGCUCAGUCGGUUGAGCGUCUGACUUCGGCUCAGGUCAUGAUCUCACAGUUCGUGGGUUCGAGCCCCACAUCAGGCU